CCUCCUCCUCGUCUCUGGAUUCUGCUCACCUACCAUCCAUGCAGUAGACUGAGCACAAAUUGUUACACCAGUGAAUGCAACAGUGAAGUCCCUUGUCUCCCUUACAACAGUAUCCGCAACCCGUGGUGUGAAUAUGACUGAAGUGCCUGGGGACACAACAGGUGCAAGAGGCUCUUGACCAACAAAGAGGGGACAUAUUGAACCGUUGUUAAGAUUAACAAGGGUUAAGCCACCGGCAACAUCAGUUACAGCUGGAAGCACGUAGUAUUCUACACCACUUCUAAGAGGUUGGCCAUCUGCAUCAAGCACAGCAGGCCAGGUUUGAGCCAUUGUGGAUGUGGCCAUGAGUAGCCAUAUAAAGCUCAAGCUUCCAAUCAAUCUCAACAUGGCUGCCUAGAGCUAGCUAUCUCGCACAACAAAAAAGAAGUAAAUAUUAUAUGUGCUGGUUCUUAAAAUUAAGACGCUAUGAGCAAUUUGUAAUCCUUCUUUUCAUCCUUUGCUUGAGAUUUGCCAUCUUUUUAUAGUGGAAGGAGUCGACAUACCACAUUUCUCUAUUACGGCACGGCAACAAAAAAGUCCUUGGGUAAUUAUCCAUUUUCAUCUGUUGCAUUGUUAUCUAAUGAAUCCAGUUUAACGGUGUCUUUAAUACACUUAGGGAUAUUGUCUCAUGGGUGGACUAAUUAUGAAGAGAUCUGUUGGAGCAAGUAAUCGAAGGAGGAAAACAGAGGAAAUAUGCUCCCAUAGUCCCAUGUGCCAUUUAAUUUAAAAAAAAUAUAAAUUCAUUAUAUAUUUAUCCCAUAGAUAUAUUUAUUUUAUGUUUUUGUUCUUAUCCUUUUAACCAAAUUUUUUUUUUUUGUAUCUGUUUUUAUUUUUAUUUGUUCGGCGAUACUAAUCAAACGUUGUACAAAAUUAACUCGAGGAACAGUGUAAAACCAAAAAAAUGGCAGCUGAAAUACUUAGACUGUAAGCUUUGAAAUACUGUCUCAUGGGUAGACUAAUUAUGAAGAAAUCUGUUGGAGCAAGUAAUCGAAGGAGGAGGAGAACUAUUCACAACCGGAACAAAAUUAAUGAUCGCUUCCAAAUUCUUUGAGCUGGUUAAUUAUCAGGAACUAGGUAACGGGAAAAUGCUAGUACCUAGAAAGUCAUUAUCAAAUUCAUAAAGGAUUUGAAUGUUCAGUUUGACCAAAUUUCUAGUGUAUACCCACAAUUAAAGCAAUUGAAUUUCCCAAAAAAUCGUCUACUUUCAAUACCAUGUGUGUGGAUAUGCUAGAGAAAAGUCUGUGUUGUCUUAAUUAGCCAAUUAAUUAAUUAAAGACAAUAAAACAAGGGUUGGUUGGAGCAUACUAUUCAUUUUGAACAAUUCCUAGUUUUACUGCUGGAAAUUAUCAGACAAUGAGGAAUACUCAACUCUUUAUGCUCUUGCUACAGUUAACCAAUCCCUUUCAGAUUACUAGUCCAACCCAAGAAUAACUAUAUUAAUGUCUUGAAGUUUCUCGCAACGCUAUAAGAUUUUGCACUCUGUGCAGUUUCUUAAAGCUCCUCUAGUCUCACAGCUAGAAAUUAGUUGAUUAAUUUGCAAGGAAUUUCGCAAUAACUUGGUUAAAUCUUUGCAUUGUUUGGCAAUGUUUCGAAGUCUUGAAACAUUAGUAAGAUUCUAACUUAUAUAUAUAUAUAUAUAUAUCUGCUAUUUUAGAUCAGUAUAUUGCUUAGGCUAUUUAUUUUAUGGCAUUUUUAAUAUAUUUUUGAUAAUUAUCCAAAAAAAAACCCUCCUAUUUUAGAUUCUCUUUUCUAUGCGGAUCCUCCCACGUUUCCUACUAAAACAAAAACAUGUUUCCCUUAACUUAUAUCUACUCUUAAUGUUUGUUGUUGGAGAGAAGUAAUUAAGCAAUCAUUCCCAUUCCAUAAAGAUAAUUCUCUAAUUAAAGCACAACAGCAAAGAUAGAUAACUAAAUUGAAUUAUUUGAUUAUGUUUUUAAUUCAAGUACUAGAAUUUAGUUAUUAAUUUCAGCGAGUGAUUUCGUUUGAUCGUCAAAUACCAAGUGUUCUAUACCUUCCACCUUCCAUUUCAUGAUAUCCACCUGAACUAUAUACACUAAAGUGGAAUGUUGAUGGUUUUUCUUUUGGCAAACGUGGUCCUACUGUUAAUGGAGGGGUUCUUCAUGACCAUAGUGACUUUGUGAUGAGUUAUUUAUCUGCACAUGUGGGAAUUAAAAAUUUAAAUGAGGCUGAAUAUUUGCUUCUUGUUAUUAAAGUGCUUGAAUUAUCUUCUUCAUUGGAGGAUUUUUCUUAAAGAAAUUUCAUCUUUCAAUCUGAUUAUAAGUGAAUAGAAUAUGUAGUUUUGUGGCUUGGAUCUAAUUAUCCCAUGUCGUGAUGUGGUGUCUCCAAUAUAUUGUGACCUUUUUUUGUGCUUAAUACUGCCUCCAUUCUAUGCUUCAGUUUUGAUUCACAGUUUUGAAUGUCUUUGUGGGUUUAUAGUAUCACAGCUCCAGAGAUUUUUUAUAUCGGUCAUGGUGUUUGCAAUUUUUUUUUUUUUAUUUCAUCACAGGUGUUGUUAUGCUUAUUCUUUUAUAUAUAUAAGAUAACUAAAUUGAAUUCUAAGCAUCAAGAAAGAUCUCCAUUUAUAUUCCUGAUAUUACAAUGACACCAAGGCACUUAUUCUUCUAUGGAGAAUAACUUAAGCGCUUCUAAAUAUAAAAUGAUUUAUUUGUACUAUUACAAUGCCAGAACGUCAUCUACUUAUAUUUUGCAAAGGAGAAGAACUCAAGCCCUUCUAAAGCUGAAAGGAAAUGCAGGGCCAUCUAUGGUUAAGAACCUCGUUCCAUUCUGUUCCAGAAUACCUGCAAUCCCACAUCUUGGCCUCCCACAAGGUGGAGGAGUGUUGCAUUCUGGGCAAUAGCCAAAAGUAUAGGGACCUGGUGCUUGAUUACGGCUAAUACUAAAGAUGGCUGGUUCAUCACCAAUCACAAUAAGUCUCCUUGUCGUCUCUGGGUCUUCCUCGCCUAUACCCCAUGUAGUAUCUGAAACACAAAUCGAAGCAGCUGAAAAUGCAACAGUGAAUUGAGUAUUUUCAGUGAUGACAGUCUCUCCAGAAUCUCUUGGGGUGAAGAUGACUGGAAGGCCUUGAACAUUACCAGAUCCAAUAGGAACCUGACCAACAUAAGAUGGACAAGAUCCAUUGCGAGUCACUAGAGUUAAACCACCAGCAACAUCAGUUACAGCAGGAUCUACAUAGUAUUCUACCCCUCUUGUAACAGGGUUUCCAUCAGUAUCAAGCACAGGAGGGCCCUGAGCCAAGCAUGAUACAGCCAUCAGUAGACAAAUGAAGCUCAAACCUUUAAUCAACCCCAACAUGGCUGCCUGUGUCAAACAACAAAAUUAAAUUGUACGAGCUUAGUUAUCAACCUUGAACUUGAUGAGAAAUUGUGUAAUUGUAAUGUCUUUGCACUUUGUGGUCUAUGCAUGGUAGCUAGAUUUUUAUAGGAAAUCUGGCGCAGGCAGGCAUGCGACUUUUCUACAAGAUAUCACAAAGUAAGCACGGCAACGAAAAGUCCACUUGUCUAUCCUAAUCAAUUACUGCUUUUACCGACCUAAUAAACCUUUGCAUCCUACUCUUUAAUUAUGUGUAUAUGGAUAGCAGAAAAAUUCAGAUAUUUGAAGUUUCAAUUUCUGAAAAGAUGAGUAGAAUGAUAGACAAUGAGAGUAAAAUGACUAUUAAUUCGCUCAAAUCUAUCCCUUCUACGUGAAAAAUGGUUCUAAUUAGCCCAUUGCUAGCUCUUAACCCAACCCUCUACCGCUAUUUAUGAUGUAUAAUUUGCUGGGUACUGGCUAAAUGUGGUAGUCUACCAAAUAGUAGCCAAUUAGGCAAUGAAGUCUUACAAGAAAUCCAUCACAAAGUCAAUAGGGGUUUUGUACUUGGGAACGAAUUUCAAUUGAGAAAUAAAUUUAAUACGUUUGGGCAAAUUGUGAAGGGAGAGGCUUAUCUUCAUAUUUGACUCAGCAUUACUACACACCAACACGCUGUCCAUGACGAUGCUCCCUCAAAUUCAUGAACUUCUAGAUAAAUUUUCUAUUACGUGAUAUAUAGAUAACAACCUAAAAAAAUCAAAGACGACAACAUCCUUUAAAAAUAGUACCUCCAAAUCAUAUAUUAUAAAAUUCUAGCUCCUAACUUGGGAUACCAGUUUUGUUAUCGAGACUUUUCUUUCACUGCAAUUUGGAAUUAGAAUUCAUCGAUGUUGUCUAUUGUGUCUUGCGUCUCCUCUAAUCAAUAAAUUUAUUAUAAAAUGCAUAUAUAUCACAUUUGUAGUUGUUUGUCGGCAUAUAUAUAUAUAUAUAUAUAUAUAUAUAUAUAUAUAUAUAUAUAUAUAUAUAUAUAUAUAGUAGGAUAUGGCAUGAAAAUAUUAUACUAAACUUGACCGAUUAAAAGGAUGAAAAGCUCCUGCAAACACUAAACACUCAAGAAUUCAAUAUAUAUCUCUUAUCUUGGCAAUCCUCUCAACAAUCUUAAUUAGCAUUGCGUGAUUCCUUUUCUUUUAUCUUUUAAACAAGGCCUUCUUGAGUGCAAAUAAGUUGUCUAUAUAUGACUGUUGGAACCAUAUCUUUUAAGACAAGUUUUACUCUGCGGAGUAUAUUUUGUUUUCGUUGACAAAUGUCGACCAGCACAAAUAUUUUUCUUAACUUGUGCAAAAUAAAAGUUAUUAAGUUUUUUGUUUUGUUUUGAUAAUAUCUUUCUGUUGGUUAUAAUACAUGAUGUUUCCAUUACACAUUGCAUUUAGAUUUAUUUCUCUAAAUAAGAUUUUUUUUAGGUAGAUUAGAGUCCAUUUUUGCCUAUUGACAAAUAAUAAACUAAUUAUUUUGACAUUUCUUCCACCUUAUCUUGAGUUGGUCAAUCUUCAUUUUCAUUAUCUAAGAUCUUUGAUCUCUUUUUGAGCAGCAUGUAUAAAGAAGGGAAGCCUGUACAAAGAGAGGCCUGGUAAUUACAAAGCUUGGUUGGAAUUAAUUUCCUUGCUUUCAAAUUAAUUUCUUUGUUGUCGUGCUCUCGAUCCUUAAUAGACCUGUACUUUGAUACCCCAAUUAUUGGUUGAGAUUAAUUUCCUUGUUGUCAUGCUUUCUUUAAUCUACCUAUGCUCUGAUACCCUAAUUAUUGAAAACACUAAACAUUCCUUAUAUUCGUAGAGAGAUUAUAGGAUAAAGUUAAAUUAUUCUAUUCUAACAAGGAUUCUAAAUACUAUUUUAAGGAUUCUAAACAUAAAUACUUUUAAGAUUAGGAUUCCUACUUGAUCUAGGAGUCCUUCUCGUAUCUCAACAAAAGCCACGAAGAAACUAAAAGUAAAAAAUUCUCAAUGCUCAAAAUGGCACAGGGAAAGAAAGAUCUCCAUUUAUUUGCUGAGGAUAAUCAGCAACUUAUGCCCUUCUAAACAUGAAAGGCUUGAUUUUAUUUACUAUUACAAUGACAAAAUGCCAUUUCUAUAUAUUUAUUUAUGUUAUGGAGAAUGAACCUAAUUAGCCCUUACAAACAUAAAAGUAAAUUCAGGACCAUCUAGGACUAAAAAUCUCGUUCCAUUUUGAAUCAGAAUACCAGCAGUUCCACACGUUGCCCUACCACAAUCUGGUUCGUCGACACAUUGUGGGCACCCUUGGAAAGUAUAGGAACCUCCUAAUUGAUUCCUGCUGUUAAUUUGAAAGUAGGAUGGUUCAGCUCCAGUCACAACAAAUCUCCUUCUCGUCUGUGAAUCUUCGCCACCUAUCGUCCAUGCAGUGUUUCGAACACAAGUUGAAACCCCUGAAAAUGUAACAGUGACCUCUGUAGAUUCAGUGAUGAUAGUCUCUUGAGGAUUUCUUGGUGUAAAGAUGACUGGAAUGCCUAGUCGACCGGAUCUAGCAGAUUCUUGACCAACAUAAAACGGGCAAGAUCCAUUGCGAGCCACUAGAGUUAAACUACCAGCAACAUCAGCCACAGCAGGGUCUGCAAGGUAUUCUACACCGCUUCUAAGAGGUUCACCUCCAGCAUCAAGCACAGGAGGGCUUUGAGCCAUAGUGGAUAUGGCCAUUAGUAGCCAUAAGAAGCUUAAACUUCCAAUCAACCUCAACAUUACAAGAAAACAGUACUGUGCUGUUUGUGCUUAGAAACUGAAGAACUUGGUACGAAACUGAUCGAGUAAUGAGUUCGCUUUUCAAGGUAUAGAAUAUGUGGGCUAGAUAUUUAUCGGAAAUGUGGUACACACACGGUGGCAUGCGGCAGUUUACAAGAUUUGAACAAUGGAGGCACGGCAACGAAAAGUCCAUUUCUCGUAUCGUAAUUAUUGUUGUUUGAACGAACAAGAUAACCCUAUCCUGUGACCCUGUCUGUACAUGGAUGACAGUAAAGUAGGAAUUAUUCCAAGUCGAAUUUCUGAUGAGGAGUAACGUUUGAGAUAGAGAGAGAACGUCUCCCAGCAUAGCCUAAUUGUAAUCGUUUUCUGUAUAUUAUUAUUAAUGUUGUUAUUAUAUUAUUAGGAAGUCCAAAAAAUCUUUGCUAUGAUUGGAGAGUAGAGUCCUCGAUCUUUUAUAUGAGAAUUACGAAAUCUGAGCUGGUUUAUAUAAAAACAUAUAGAUUUUCUAUCUAUUCUGAAAAAAAAAAAUUAUUGAGUUAUCAAAGAUUACCAAUCAAUUUAAAUCAAUUAUUUUUAAUAAAAAUAAUUUUUUUUUUGUGUUCAAUCAUUAAAUUUAAAUUAGAUUUGACUAGAUCAACUAGAUCAUAAAAAAUUCAGUUAGACCAAUCAAGUUUUACCAAGUCAAUAUUUUAUUGGUUCAAUUAAAAAUUAUAUUUGAAUCAGAUCUCAAAUCUCAAAUUAACUCGCUAGAUCGGACAAAUUUAAUAACAACUAAUGCUUAAACUUAGUUUUUUUAAUUAAAAAAAUUAAAAAAUGGUAUACUUAAUCUAACAAUUGUAUAUUCGUGGCUUGCUAUAAAGUUAGAGUCUUAUUAAUGAGUUCUCUUUCUCAUCUGCAAUCAUGUAAUAGGAAAGAAUUACUCAUAUGUUUUAUGAUUCGAAAUCUGUUGCUUUAUCAAGUUUGUGUUCGGCUAAUUCUAGCGAGGUGGUAGGAACUUGUAACAAAACCAAAUUCAGAUUUCGUAUUUGGGCCAAAUUGCAAUACUUGGGCCACUUUAAUUGACCAGGAAAGAAGUUGCCCACUUGGGCCGCCAUAAUUGACCCACGAAAGAAGUUGCCCACUUGGGCCGCCAUAAUUGACCCACGAAAGAAGUUGCCCAUUUGGGCACGUUAUCAUAGGUCAGAUCCAUAUCCACAUCGGGCCCAUGUUUGUUUGAGCAGUUCCUCUCAGUCAACUUGGCAAGAGAAAAAAUUCAAUCAUUAGUUUGGCAUGUACUGCACUUCUAACAUGAUUUCAUGGCUGUUGGAAAAUCCGAUCCCCAAACAAGACAAGUAUGUGCAAUCUGGUCCUAAUUAUACAUGUGCAACAAUUGAAGUUUUGAUAUGAAUUUAUAAAGCACAAUUUGCAUACGAGCUUCAUCCUAAUCAUGUACAAUAGUCACAGCCCUCACAGGACAAUAAAAUUAAUGAUUGAAAUAUUAUUUUAAAGAAGAAAUCAUUUAGAUAUACAAGAGGUAGAUUACAUUUUUUAUUCUAAUUCUUUUAUUUGUAUUUUUUAAUUUACAUGUAAGUAUAUAUGCGAUCAUAGGAUAACUCGAGUUGACAAGUUUUUCUUCAUAGUUUAGCUCUUGAGAGUGGUUAUUUAUUUAUAAAUCGUGUCAAAAAGUAUAUUUAAUAUACAUAUGUGUAUAGAAAGAGAUUUAGAUAUACCAUAAUUUAAUAAUAGUAAGUAUUAAUAAUUAUAUAUUAUCAUAUACAUCUAAACUCAAAAGCCUUUAUUUAUUGCCCAAGCUAUAUAUUCAAUAUUAGUCAAGAAUUAAAUAUCUCCAUUUAUUUUUAUAAUUAGCAAUGCAUUGACAAGAUGUCAUUGAUUAUUCUUGACACAUGGAGGCUAUUACAAGCUAUUCAAACCCUUCUAAAUAUAAAAGGAAAGGCGGAACCAUCCAAGACCAGCAAUCUCCUUUCAUUCUCAACGACAAUACCAGCAUCCCCACACAAAGGCUUGGGACAAACUCUGGUGAGACAAUUUGGACACCAUUGAAAAUUGUAGAGGCCUUGAUCAUUCUUGACAAUAUUGAAGUGCCAAGCAUUAGAAGAUGGAAUAGGAUCCGUUUCAGCCAAGAUAUACCUCCUCCGUGUCUCUGGAUUCCGCUCACCUACCCUCCAUGCAGUAGACUGAGCACAAAUUGUUACACCAGUGAAUGCAACAGUGAAGUCCCUUGUCUCCCUUAUAACAGUAUCCGCAACCCGUGGUGUGAAUAUGACUGAAGUGCCUCGGGACACAACAGGUGCAAGAGGCUCUUGACCAACAAAGAGUGGACAUAUUGAACCGUUGUUAAGAUUAACAAGGAUUAAGCCGCCGGCAACAUCAGUUACAGCUGGAAGGACGUAGUAUUCUACACCACUUCUAAGAGGUUGGCCAUUUGCAUCAAGCACAGGAGGCCAGGUUUGAGCCAUUGUGGAUGUGGCCAUGAGUAGCCAUAUAAAGCUCAAGCUUCCAAUCAAUAUUCUCAACAUGGCUAUAACAGGAAUAAACUAUAUAUUUCAGCAAAUUUUUUGGAAUUGGGACU
This 8661-nucleotide long non-coding RNA is filed under the name Populus trichocarpa (black cottonwood). Its description in RNAcentral is "long non-coding RNA (PTRI_LNC002027)". The record is from RNAcentral. Lineage: Eukaryota; Viridiplantae; Streptophyta; Magnoliopsida; Malpighiales; Salicaceae.